This 87-nucleotide ribosomal RNA is filed under the name Clostridia bacterium. The record is from RNAcentral. Lineage: Bacteria; Bacillati; Bacillota; Clostridia.
CCGUUCCCAUUCCGAACACGGAAGUUAAGCUCUCCAGCGCCGAUGGUACUUGGGGGUAGCCCCUGGGAGAGUAGGUCACUGCCAGAA